UACAGAGGUCCCAAGCGUUACUGAGAAUCACUGGGCUUAAAGGGUGCGUAGGCGGUCCGUUAAGUUCGUUGUGAAAUCCCUGGGCUCAACCCAGGAACUGCUUCGAAUACUGGCGGACUUGAGGCCAGUAGGGGUCACUAGAACUGACGGUGGAGCGGUGAAAUGCGUAGAUAUCGGUUGGAACGCCAAAGGUGAAAACAGGCGACUGGGAGUGUGCUGACGCUGAGACACGAAAGCCAGGGGAGCAAACGGG
This 253-nucleotide ribosomal RNA is filed under the name uncultured bacterium. Its description in RNAcentral is "partial 16S ribosomal RNA". It matches the Rfam family "Bacterial small subunit ribosomal RNA", at positions 524 to 776 of the family's 1533-position model. The record is from RNAcentral.